Molecule: ribosomal RNA, 214 nt
Filed under: Escherichia coli
Lineage: Bacteria; Pseudomonadati; Pseudomonadota; Gammaproteobacteria; Enterobacterales; Enterobacteriaceae
Also listed under: 3 other names
Description: partial 16S ribosomal RNA
Rfam family: Bacterial small subunit ribosomal RNA
Source: RNAcentral
AAAUUGAAGAGUUUGAUCAUGGCUCAGAUUGAACGCUGGCGGCAGGCCUAACACAUGCAAGUCGAACGGUAACAGGAAGCAGCUUGCUGCUUCGCUGACGAGUGGCGGACGGGUGAGUAAUGUCUGGGAAACUGCCUGAUGGAGGGGGAUAACUACUGGAAACGGUAGCUAAUACCGCAUAACGUCGCAAGACCAAAGAGGGGGACCUUCGGGC